Molecule: ribosomal RNA, 492 nt
Filed under: uncultured bacterium
Lineage: Bacteria
Description: bacterial SSU rRNA
Rfam family: Bacterial small subunit ribosomal RNA
Source: RNAcentral
GACGAACGCUGGCGGCGUGCCUAACACAUGCAAGUCAAGGAGAAUUCCCGACUUGUCGGGAUAGUAAACUGGCGAACGGGUGAGUAACACGUAGGUAAUCUGCCCUCGGGAUCGGGAUAACCUCGCGAAAGUGGGGAUAAUACCGAAUAAAGUCUCGGUAUAAUUUGUCGAGAUGAAAGAUGGGGAUCUUCGGACCUAUUACCUGAGGAUGAGCCUGCGCCUGAUUAGCUAGUUGGUAGGGUAAAUGCCUACCAAGGCAACGAUCAGUAGCUGGUCUGAGAGGAUGAUCAGCCACAUUGGGACUGAGAUACGGCCCAGACUCCUACGGGAGGCAGCAGUGAGGAAUUUUGCGCAAUGGGCGAAAGCCUGACGCAGCAACGCCGCGUGACUGAUUAAGCUCUGAGGAGUGUAAAAGUCUGUCGUAGAGGAAGAAACUAUCCGAUAAGAAUAUUGUCGGAUACUGACGGUACUCUAUGAGAAAGCUCCGGCUAA